RNAcentral lists this unclassified non-coding RNA (3935 nucleotides) under Hevea brasiliensis (rubber tree). Lineage: Eukaryota; Viridiplantae; Streptophyta; Magnoliopsida; Malpighiales; Euphorbiaceae. The record is from RNAcentral.
CCUAAUGAAAGCUUCAAAACGAAGCAAAGGUCACUCUUUUGCUUUCUCUGCUUCCUUCUUGCUUUCCUAAUUGCAUGCUCUAAUGGCCCACCCGUACGAUUCUGACGAAGAGAAUGACGACGCAUUCGUCUACCCUGGCUUUGAAGUAGAAGAAGAGACGGAAAGUCACUUGGAAAGCGAAGAGGAGGAGGAGGACGGAGACGACGACGACGAGGAGUACAUUCCGGUUGCAAACUCGCCUAGGGUUUUAGGUAACGGCUUUUUGAAUGCUGGUCGAGUAAGUGUUGAAGAAGAGAGAAGCAAGCGGAGAAGAAUAAAUCAGGAAGGAGAAGAGAUGCGUUCGUUAAUUGCAGAUGAGAAUGCCGAGUGUUCUCAGGGGAGAGAGUGGAAUCGAACUCAAAUUGAUGGACUUUUUUGCCCUAUUUGCAUGGAUGCUUGGACCAGUGAGGGUGACCAUCAUAUCUGCUGUCUUCCUUGUGGCCAUAUAUUCGGACUUUCUUGUAUCAGCAAAUGGUUGAAACAAAAUCGAAAUUCUGCAAAGUGCCCUCAAUGCAACAGGAAUUGCACGUUAAAGGAUGUGAGGAAGCUCUUUGCUCCAAGGAUUGCUGUGGUCGAUGAAGAAUCACAAAAGACAAUUAGAUCUCUAGAGAUGAAAUGUGCUUCUCUUGAGAAGAAGAGUGCUGAUUGGUGUAGAAAAGAAUCUGAAUGGCAAAAGAGAGAAGCUGAGUUGCAACUUAAGGUCAACCAGCUUACGGAGGUAAUGCUUAAGUGUUAAUUACUUUGACCUUUCAAUUAUAUCCAUUUUCUUGUUUCAAAGCAAUAAAACUCACAUGAUCUUCACUUAGUAUUAUCAAUAUCACUGGUCAAUAAAAGCUUUUUAGUGUUUCUAUAUUGGCUGUUAUCCAUUGUGUUUAAGUAGUAGCAGUUUAUGGUUAGGCUUCCAGUUCCAGAGCACAUUGUACUUUUAAUCUCUUGGGCCUAUUGUUGUCUGUUUAUGGAUUUUCCUCAAUUCUAUCAAGCCUUACCAAUUUGUGGUGCAAAUCUGUAUCUUUGGAAAACAUAUGCAUCUCAUUCUCAAUUUUGCAAUCAAAAUGAAUUUUGGGAAUGAAAUUAUAUGUGAAAAUUUGAACUCAUUGGAAUUUGUGGGUGGAAAAUUUGCGUUAGAUCUCUUUUUAGUUGUGCCUUUCUUUGUUACUUUCAGUUUCAAACUUUUGACUUUGUAGAGAACGACUUAUUUGGAGCAUUUAGUAGGAGAUAUGGAAAGCAGUUCAACUGUGCCGUUCUCUGCUGGAAAUAUCAACUCAAAGUUAUGCCAAGGAGGAUCUUCCAGUAUUUUUGUGUUGGAGAGAGAGUUGCAAGUGGAUGGUGCACGCUUAUUUGAUAUAGAUGCAUUUGGUCAAAUUUUGUUACUUGCUCGGAGGCUACCUAAGAUUGAUGGGUCACAUGUACUUACCAAAAUGAACUUGCUACCUCCUCAUGAAAGUGAAGAUAUUUUGCUCCCUUCUAGCAUGAAAAUCAUAAAGGAUUUGCAUAUUUCUCCUUUUAAUGGAAGUCAUGCACUUUGUGCUUCCUUAGGCAAGAAACUAUCUGUUCUUAGUAUGGAAAGCAACAGUGUCAUCCUUUCCUAUGAUUUACCGGUAAGUGUUAGAUCCAUUAUCCAUGAUGCUGUUUAUUGUGAUCUUAUGAUAUAGUGUUAAGAUUUCCCUUGCUUCUUAUUGGAUGGGAUUACAAUUUGUGCUAAAAUGUUAACUAAUUACUCGAAAAUAAUGGGUGCAGGUAAUGUGACAAUGGGUGCAUGUGUAUUGAAUAUUUCUAACAAAAAUAGAAAGGAAUUACUAAAUGUAUCUAAUAGAAAUUGAAAAUACUUAUUAACCAUUAUAGUUAAUAGGUAGCAUUUCCAUUCUGGCCUCUAUUGACCCUGGUGAUAAUUCUAAUCGAAUUACCUAAUGAAGAGUUUGCUGUGAUAAUUUUAUAAAAAUUCAUCACCAAUUUGAACUUUGCUUUUCAUAAACUCUAGGGAAUAUAUCUUGGUGAUUCUUUAUUGGGAUUGCUUUCUCUCUGUCCUGCUCAGAGAAAGUCUCAUACUUCUAGACUGAGUGAUAACAUUUGCAUCGUUUUCUUAGUGAUGCUCUUAUCGCUAAAAUAUCUAGUUAUUAGUAUUUUACAAGAGUCUUCAUUGUGUUGACAUCAUAAUUUACAGUCUCCUGCUUGGUCAUGUUGCUGGGAUCUUCAGAGUUCAUAUUACAUGUAUGCGGGACUACAGGUAUGACCCUUGAAUGAAUAUUGUUUGAUGUUUACCAUGAUAGUCUAGAUAGCUUGAACCAAACUUUUUAUUUUUGUUUUGUACCUUUCAGAAUAGCUUGCUUUUAGCAUUUGAUAUGCGUCAAACCAGGGGACCAGUAGAAUCGAGUCCAGGGUUGACAAACAAUCCAAUCCAUACAUUAUACUCUGUUCAAAAUAACUUUUCUUCUGGUGUUAGAACGCUUCUAUCUGCUUCCUCCAUUGGCAUAUGCCAGUGGAACUUUGGCGGUGCUGAAGAAAGGUGGGAUGUUAUUAGUUUGUGUAUGAGCUUGGCAUCUGUUUUUCUUAUUCAUUUGGAUCUGAAAAAGAUAUGGUUUGCUUUUCAAGUUCAUCUUGAUGUAGUUUUUUGGCCCAUAAUGAUGCCCAAAACUCUCUUUCAUGUGCAUUUUAGUAUUUAUUAGAGGCAACAGAGCAUAAUGUUUAUUUCCUUGUAUUUUUAGCUUGUUAUGUCAUUUACGAAGUGUAUAUUUCUAAUUAGAUCAUUUUCCAUUUAACUCUGGCUCUUCUGUCUGUUGAACUUCAAACACUGCAGUUCGAAGUGUUUAUUUUUAUUUUCUUUUACUAUUUAUAAAACUCAUUGCAGGAUUGAAUUUUUUCCAUGCAAUAAUUUUGAAAAGUUUUAUUUUUAAUGAGUAAUGACUAUUGAGACAGUCUGUUCUAACAUGAUUUCAAUUGAAUUUUAUGAAGGCCAUCUUUGGUUCCCCAAACAGCAAAUCAAGGAGUUUGUAUAUCCCUUGCUCAUUGUCCCAGCAGUGAUGACAUAGUUGCUACCUUUCGUCCCAAAGUUGAGAUGACCAAUGAGAUGUCUGUUUCUCAGCUAUCACCUACUCCUUGCUCAAUUAUUGGACAAAGAGUACUUGGUUCCCAUCUUCAUUUGAAGAGGGUGGGUGAUAAGUAUCAAGAGUUGGGCAUUGCAUGUGCCACUGUAAGUAAUAUUCGAUUGCCUAGAUCUGUUAUCAUAGACAGAGAGAAUGAGAAACCACUAUUUGCAGUUGGAGAUGAAGAAACAUUGGGAUUGAUCUUGCAAGAGUUGCCAACUUUUACAUUUACUCAAAAUCUUAAAUCUCACAAGCAUCAUAUUUGUGACAUUAAGUGUACAAGCACCCUAAGCCAAGGUUUACUUGGCUGUUUGAGUGAGAACAGAUUGCAACUUUUCAGUAGCAAGAUCUGAUGUGGUAAGCUUUUCUUUUGCAGAUGCUAUGCCAUUGUUUUUUGUGUAUUAUCCUAUUUGCUCUUUCUUAGUCAUAAAUGUCUAAUCUUGAAAUAUAUACACUUGGUAGUCUUCACCAGUAUCACCAGAAAUCACUAAAGCCAUAGCGUCCUGCUAUCAGGAUCACACAAUUGGGUUCUUAGAUUAUUAACUUUUCUUUCUGUUUGUAAAAUAUUAUUAGGAGUAGGCAUCUAGGCGUGCCUUAAUUAAAAGGAGUAUGUGUGCAAAUUGUCUAAUCUAGGCAUGUCUUAGGUGUCAAACUUUUGAGUGGCCCCUUUUUAGAAUUGCCUCCAUUGUCUUGACCAAGCCCCUUUGCAUUUGUCAAGAAACAAUUAAUGAAGAUGUGAGACUUCAGGUUGUUUUUUGGAUGAUUGUUGAUUGCAAGUCUAUUAUUGCUAUAACUUUUCUGUUGAUGAUUUCAAAA